This 359-nucleotide ribosomal RNA is filed under the name uncultured bacterium. Its description in RNAcentral is "bacterial SSU rRNA". It matches the Rfam family "Bacterial small subunit ribosomal RNA", at positions 8 to 353 of the family's 1533-position model. The record is from RNAcentral.
AGAGUUUGAUCAUGGCUCAGGAUGAACGCUAGCUACAGGCUUAACACAUGCAAGGUCGAGGGGAAACGACAUCGAAAGCUUGCUUUUGAUGGGCGUCGACCGGCGUACGGGUGAGUAACGCGUAUCCAACCUGCCCACCACGUUGGGGAUAACCUUGACGAAAGUAAGACUAAUACCCAAUGAUAUCUCUAGAAGACAUCUGAAAGGGAUUAAAGAUUUAUCGGUGAUGGAUGGGGAUGCGUCUGAUUAGCUUGUUGGCGGGGUAACGGCCCACCAAGGCAACGAUCAGUAGGGGUUCUGAGAGGAAGGUCCCCCACAUUGGAACUGAGACACGGUCCAAACUCCUACGGGAGGCAGCA